Molecule: transfer RNA, 69 nt
Filed under: Lamiinae sp. GENSP02
Lineage: Eukaryota; Metazoa; Arthropoda; Insecta; Coleoptera; Cerambycidae
Description: tRNA-Lys
Source: RNAcentral
CAUUAGAUAGCAGAAAGUAAGCAGUGGAAUUUUAACCCAUUUAUAGUAAUUAACACCUACUUCUAAUGA